AACGAACGCUAGCGGCGUGCCUAACACAUGCAAGUCGAGCGAGAAAGGGCUUCGGCCUCAGUAAAGCGGCGCACGGGUGAGUAACACGUGGGUAACGUACCCUCGGGUGGGGAAUAACGGGCCGAAAGGCUCGCUAAUACCGCAUAAGACCACGACCUUUGCGAAGGUCGCGGCCAAAGGGGCGCAAGUCCCGCCUGAGGAUCGGCUCGCGGUCCAUUAGCUAGUUGGUAGGGUAAUGGCCUACCAAGGCUACGAUGGAUAGCUGGUCUGAGAGGACGAUCAGCCACACUGGAACUGAAACACGGUCCAGACUCCUACGGGAGGCAGCAGUGGGGAAUAUUGCGCAAUGGGCGAAAGCCUGACGCAGCAACGCCGCGUGAGUGAAGAAGGCC
Molecule: ribosomal RNA, 392 nt
Filed under: uncultured bacterium
Lineage: Bacteria
Description: bacterial SSU rRNA
Rfam family: Bacterial small subunit ribosomal RNA
Source: RNAcentral